UAUUUCUGAGGGUCGGACGGUAUAUUUGAUCGAUAAAUCCGCGGUCACACUGAUCUCAAUUGCGGAACAUAAGGCCGUUUUGAAGCCCAACUGUGGCCCACAACUCCGCCCUGCCUCAGCCAGACCACCAGAUCGGCCAGGUGGAUCUUAGCCGACCAGAUCUUAGCCCGAAUCUGAAGAAAACCAAGCUGGAUGAGGCCUCGACGGCGGGGUUGAUGCAAGCACAUAAACGGAUCAGGGCGUGGUGUCUAUGAUGAGCUUCCAUCUGCGUCGCAAAAAGGGACUGGAACAAACCCUGGCGGCCAAGCUUACACCAAAGGCGUACGUCAAGGAGACUCAUGCCGUGCCCGGGCUGCCGGAGCUGCUGGAUCCUGCAUUCCCAACAAGACACGUCUGGACAGAUUAUGCGCCACUACGGCAGUGCAAGGGCAUCCGCCAGUUGCAGGCUUUGUACGUGUCCCACCUGCACGCGGAUCAUCACAUUGGAUUGAUUGGACUGCUGAAGGAGCGCAGAUAGCUGGCCCCGAAGGAAACUCGCUGCUCUUACUUGCGCCGCGGCAGAUCGAGCCAUGGAUGGAGUUCUAACAAGGAUAGCUCUUGGCGAGACUCCUGACUGGAGAGGCAGUGGCACCAUUGGGCAUAACUGCCGCCACUGCCAAGUCACCAGUAGGAACUGCCAAGCCGCCAGUGCGAACAGCUGCUUAAAAUCUUGCGAGACGCUUGGCGAUGCUGUGGAUGAUCGAGUUCAGCCCAACAAUCAACCUUUGCGGAAUGAGAGGAGCAGCAGCAAGGCAAGAAGGUGAGUUCUGGGUGAAAACUUGUCUCAUUGUCCUAUGCAGGAUGCCGAUCAGGAUUUGUACUAAAACCAGGACAGUUCGGCUAACUCGUCGCAGUCCUCGGUGGGCAUUGAUGACUAUUGGGAUGAGGCUCUGGUCGGCGACUAUGGAAGCACUCAGAAUGAUGACAGCGAUGACUUGGAUGGUCACAACAACUAGCCACCUAUCGAUGGGCAGCAAGGAAAAGAACCCGGCCGUAACGAGUUGCGUUACUAUUGGCGAUCAAGAGAUCAUAGACUGCAAAGAACAAUUCGACAAGCAGCGGCAGGCAACAUUACUUGGGCCGAGCAGGGCAGUAAAUGUAAAAGUUGUUCUGCACUAUCUUAAAAGCGUGCUCCGGCGGUCUUAAGCCUUCUGCACCAUGUUUUACAUCAUCGGUUUCGACCGGAUCCAGUGGCCUAAAAAGUGCUAUAGAGCGAUCCUCUCUUACCCCACCAGGAGGUCACCCCCUCCGGUGGCCAUGAAUACCUUUUGCAUGACCGCGAAUACCGAAUUACCCACCAUCGUUUAACUGGGGCUUCACACUUCAGGUCCUCCGGUUUAGCUGAACGAGUGGGCGCUCGAUGGCGGCUGUCCACUCCAGGCGCCUACCGGCUGACAUCGCGAGCUCCCCACCGGCUCUUGGGACAUGACUUACAUCGCGCGAGCUGUGGCCUCUAGCCUGGACGACCUUUGGGUCCUCUCGGGAUGUGUAAGGGAUGUGCUCCUGGCUGGACUGUGGCAGGCACUGUCUGUCCUCCUGCGGGCCAAAGCCAUGAUGCCACUACUGUGUCGCUGAAUCGACAAUGUGGCGUCCCGUCCGCUGCAGCAGGGACCACUGAUCGACUUCAGAAUUGUGGGUUCACGCCCACGGUAAUCAAACGCUGGUCUUCAGCCUCGAGGCGCAGGGCUUAUGUACCAUAUCCAAGCAUUGCCGAAUCGUAUCCCAGCAGGACAAAAGCGCACCCCUUGGAAGAGCCCAAAUCUAACAAGCCGACGUCACAUUUCGACCUGGCCAUUGAAAACUAUCUCAAGGACUUUGGCUAUGGCAACCAAGGGAGGGAUACGCGGACUACCAGACUAUAGAUAGAUCUCGUUGUUAAUAGGUUUAAGGAUACACACGUCUGUACAUUUAGAUAGUAGAUAUAAAUAUUUCCAAAUUGUUAAUUUCUUUAUAGUAAGUUAACGUUAUUAUGAAUAAAACUAUUGAAAAAUUA
Molecule: small RNA, 2032 nt
Filed under: Drosophila pseudoobscura pseudoobscura
Lineage: Eukaryota; Metazoa; Arthropoda; Insecta; Diptera; Drosophilidae
Description: GA25895
Source: RNAcentral